Molecule: non-coding RNA, 110 nt
Submitted as: unclassified sequences
Source: Rfam
ACUGCCGUCGGACGGGACGGGUCGUGAGGGUUGGGGAACCCGUUGAGCGGUCCGUCGCCGAGGUCGAGGCGGGUCUUAGGGAGCCCGCUCCGAUCGCUCCGGCGAAGGAG